GCAAGCGUGAUGGAAUGGUAGACAUGCACCACUUAGGAUGGUGUGGCCCCGGCUGUGAGAGUUCAAGUCUCUCCGCUUGUA
Non-coding RNA from Neopestalotiopsis sp. 37M, 81 nucleotides. The record is from the annotation of a GenBank genome assembly. NCBI's taxonomy places the organism in Eukaryota, Fungi, Ascomycota, Sordariomycetes, Amphisphaeriales, Sporocadaceae.